Molecule: RNA transcript, 2375 nt
Organism: Hyla sarda
Lineage: Eukaryota; Metazoa; Chordata; Amphibia; Anura; Hylidae
Exons: 6
Source: RefSeq, a predicted model, not a curated record
AUGUUGCCACCCCCUCUGUCUCUGCUAGUCCUGGCCCUCUCCUUAGGACUUUCUUGGCACUCGGUGUCUUUCUUGCUUUCUUACUUUGUCUACAAAAAUCAGGAAGAGAGUGAUGGACGGCCCCUAGAAGGAGGAGUCGGGAGAUUGGAGAGAAAGAUAAUAUUGAAGCUAUUACAUGAUAAGCCUAUGAUGUUGUCAAGUCUGGAACGAGAUGAUCGAGAAGUACUGCGUGACCUCAUGGAUCUUCUGGAAGAGUAUCAAACAGGGAGGAAUCUGACCAGGGAGGAACAGCAAGCAAUAAAUGACCUGAAGAACAACAAGGACUUCCUGAUUAAGGAAGCUGACAAAGGCGGAAACGUUGUUUUGUGGCCUCUAGAAAAAUACAUCUGUGAGGCAUUGAGACAAUUGAAUGAUCGGAAUUAUUAUCAACAACUACCAUCAGACCCAACGGAUUAUUUUCAGCGGAAGUUCAUACAUAUCUUUGACUCAGCCUUGGAACACGGAGUAAUAUCCAAAAAGGAACUAGAAUACCUGCAGCCCCUGGUAACAGCACUACCCUCGUAUUUGAGAGAUUCUCUACAUCUGAUGCAAAUUAUCAAGAAUAUACAAAUUCCGAAAGGAACAUUAUUAGUCACAUGUGACGUAGAAUCACUGUACUCCAAUAUUAGACACCAAGAUGGCAUCCGUGCUAUUACAUACUACUUGGAGCAACAGGUACACAGGAAGAAUGUUUGGAAUUUAUUUCUUUUCUCAAUCAGAACAACGCUAAUGUAAGACUGACGCAUACCAUCUCCCCUUGGACAGUGGAAUUUCUGGAUCUUUGAAUAGAGGACAUCAUAUACGUGUAGAGAUUAUCUUGAGCAUGGAAAUUACUCACAGAUGUCUGCAUAUUCAAGAUCUUUGGCCCAAGAUUCACAGGAGUAAUUUUGAUCUCUUUAUACCCACAUUUAUAUCUUGGAUGGUUAUGGGGCCAUCUCUAGUCUUGUCUCUUUUUUAUUGAUGUAAAGUUCUUCUAUUAUUAAUAAUUAAAUGUUAUAUAUAUCUUAAUAAUUGAACACAUAAUUGUCUUUCAAUUCACCAUCUUUGCUGUUUGAAUAGUUAGCACAUGGUGUGCAAGUAUUGGAGUUAGGUAGUAAUAUAUAUCUCAUUGAUGCUCACCAUCCUUGCACUUUUUCAUCUUCACCCCAUUUCCCCUCCCUGCACUUUGUUUCACUUGGUUGGUUUGUUUUCUCACACAUUCACAUUCAUCCUCUUUCCUCUCCACACUUUUAUCCUCACAUGGCACUACACCUAUCCCCAUCUCACGUUUUCACACCCAUCUCAUUUAUUAUUAUUUUUUUGGUUGUCACUCUAUAUCACUCAAUACACACUCUAACACUUUUUCCACUGGGUUGUUAUGUCACCCCUCCACCUUAUACCUCACCCAUUUUCCUUAUACAUUUCACUUUCAUAUCAUUACCACAUUCACAGUUCCCUUACUUGAUCUUUAUGCAUAACCCCACUUGACCCCAGGAUAUCUCCUUUACAGCCCCUUGUUAUUUAUUAGGGAUCCCUCACACAUAUGUCAUCCAGCAAUUUUCCACACAUACACACAUCACUUACAUUUACUUCAUGCACUUUUUCUUUACUCCAAAUUAGAAAUAAGUUUAUUAAGUAUUACUCAGUUGCUCUUAUAAUAUGUAUUGCAUUGUUUUAUUUCAUGUUUUGCUAUUUGCAUCAUGAGUUGUGUAUUUAAAUAUGCUAUCUGUCAGUGUUCUGCUGAUCACAGACACUGCCCCUGUUGCUGGUGUGCGUGCGCUGUCUCUGCGCCGCCGGGGAUCCGGGGGAGUCGCGUCUACAUCAUGGUGCAGUAAUGUGAUUUGUCACAUGGCCGGGUCAUGUGACACGGCUCCGGGCGGCGGCGGUGACAUUGUUCGCGCGCCGAGAAACAGCCACAGGUGAGGACUGUAUUAUUGUUCCCCCACGAUACAAUCUGAUUGGUGUUCUUGAAUUUAAAUAGACAGUCAGACUGGGAUAAAGCAUCUCCCAGACGAAGGUUGUGUACCAAAAAGUACGUUGGAGAGGUGCUAUCCCUGUCUCUGCCAUCUGCUGCUGUACCUCUGUAUACUAUAAUAUUGGUCUGUAUCUCUGCAAUACUAUUUUUGUUUACACGCACACUGCACUUUAUAUUGUAUGUAGCACCUUUAUUCUCACUAUGAGAUAUGUAUACUUUAUAUGUACCAUGCUGCAACUUACUUGAAUUGAUCAAUCUAGUGUGUUAGUUUAUUCUACAAUUGUUUACCAUAUUGCAGUAGAUACAGUAAAUAAUAUACUACAUAUACGACAGCUCUAAUGUGCAGAGCCGGUGAUACCACCGUUUUUUUUAGCCAUAUUCC